AUGUCUCGGACUGAUUGGGCGUUUGCCCGUGCGGAUCUUGCCGCGGGCCACAUUUCUGCAUCUUGGGCAGCCAGCUUCCACGCUGAUAUGCGAAUGGCCAAAAUCUCCCUCCAUGUAGGGAUGGUCUUCCUCUCCUCGACAGGGCAUCUGGCUCUCCUUGAUGAGGACAAGGUAAUUUUGGAUGCUCGUUUGCUCCAUGAUGGUGAAUCCAUUUCCACCGGAGAUGAGAUCUCCUUCCCAUGUUACAAGGCCAUGAUCGGGUGUAUGGUUGGGCAUUCGCCGGCCCCCACGGCCACCUCUGCUCCGUCUGCUUCGUCUGUGGACCCAUCGUCCCCGGAUCCGGCUGCCAAGGUUCCUCCCAUUUUGGAUGUUGAUACUUCUGCGGAUAAUAUCAUUGGUGGGGAGAAACAGGAUUCAGGUUUAGAGAUUGGUCUAGACCUUCGCCUGGGUAUGGAUUUCCAGCGAUCGGUUUGGCAAAGAUACCACUGCCCAGUUGCUUUCUUGCCUGGCAAAUGUGCACAUGAAUUCUUCUUGGUGGCUUCUUUCAAGCACUUCAAGCACCACCUGGAAUGUACCUCUGUCAGUGCCUACCUCAACGCCUGUUUGGGUGGUAUUGCUUCAGACUUUAAUGUGAUAUCUCUUCGGUAUAAUACCUACAGAUUCUUAGUUUGCUCAAGACAGAUGGGCUUCUUUAUCUACUCUCAAAAAAGCUAUAGCUGGUCUCACUUCGCGGUAUUAUUCCAUCUGUGGGGCAAUGGAGGUCCGGACUUUGUGCAUGAAUUCAGAGACUGGGAACAGGUGGAAUCAGACUCUUGGACUGUCGUCUCUCAUAAAAAAGUUCAGGCCAUGGGACAAUGA
This 858-nucleotide ribosomal RNA is filed under the name Triticum aestivum (bread wheat). RNAcentral describes it as "partial small subunit ribosomal RNA". The record is from RNAcentral. Lineage: Eukaryota; Viridiplantae; Streptophyta; Magnoliopsida; Poales; Poaceae.